AACGAACGCUGGCGGCAGGCUUAACACAUGCAAGUCGAACGCCCCGCAAGGGGAGUGGCAGACGGGUGAGUAACGCGUGGGAACAUACCCUUUUCUACGGAAUAGCUCUGGGAAACUGGAAUUAAUACCGUAUACGCCCUACGGGGGAAAGAUUUAUCGGGGAAGGAUUGGCCCGCGUUGGAUUAGCUAGUUGGUGGGGUAAAGGUCUACCAAGGCGACGAUCCAUAGCUGGUCUGAGAGGAUGAUCAGCCACAUUGGGACUGAGACACGGCCCAAACUCCUACGGGAGGCAGCAGUGGGGAAUAUUGGACAAUGGGCGCAAGCCUGAUCCAGCCAUGCCGCGUGAGUGAUGAAGGCCUUAGGGUUGUAAAGCUCUUUCACCGAUGAAGAUAAUGACGGUAGUCGGAGAAGAAGCCCCGGCUAACUUCGUG
This 431-nucleotide ribosomal RNA is filed under the name uncultured bacterium. Its description in RNAcentral is "partial 16S ribosomal RNA". It matches the Rfam family "Bacterial small subunit ribosomal RNA", at positions 29 to 507 of the family's 1533-position model. The record is from RNAcentral.